AUUCUUAGCCUUGCUCCUAGCGUGUUCUUACCUCCUUAAGUCGAAUCCUCUCUCCAAAAGCGUCUUCUUUAGGUCGAAUUUGCACUAAAAACGUCCUCCUAUUCUCUUAGACAUGUUUAAGGAGUAUUUAUAGGCUAGAGUUGAAGUCCUUGAGUCCAAAUUCGGGUUGGAGACUUUUAACCCGCGAUCGUGGUCAACCUGGCUAUAGACCUCGCGAAGCCUGGUCUGUAGCGCGGUCAAGCUGGAUAUAGACCUCGCGAAGCCUGGUCUGUAGCGCGGUUUGGGUACUUGGCAUUUUUUGCUAUUUUCUUGCAUUUUCGUCAUCUUUUUUUGCAACCUUCACUCGUCGUUGUCUUCCGAUGCU
RNAcentral lists this long non-coding RNA (364 nucleotides) under Nicotiana tabacum (common tobacco). RNAcentral describes it as "long non-coding RNA (NTAB_LNC012128)". Lineage: Eukaryota; Viridiplantae; Streptophyta; Magnoliopsida; Solanales; Solanaceae. The record is from RNAcentral.